UAAUGCCUAGGAAUCUGCCUGGUAGUGGGGGACGAACGUUUCGAAAGGAACGCUAAUACCGCAUACGUCCUACGGGAGAAAGCAGGGGACCUUCGGGCCUUGCGCUAUCAGAUGAGCCUAGGUCGGAUUAGCUAGUUGGUGAGGUAAUGGCUCACCAAGGCGACGAUCCGUAACUGGUCUGAGAGGAUGAUCAGUCACACUGGAACUGAGACACGGUCCAGACUCCUACGGGAGGCAGCAG
RNAcentral lists this ribosomal RNA (241 nucleotides) under uncultured Pseudomonas sp. RNAcentral describes it as "partial 16S ribosomal RNA". It matches the Rfam family "Bacterial small subunit ribosomal RNA", at positions 111 to 354 of the family's 1533-position model. Lineage: Bacteria; Pseudomonadati; Pseudomonadota; Gammaproteobacteria; Pseudomonadales; Pseudomonadaceae. The record is from RNAcentral.